Molecule: non-coding RNA, 7715 nt
Organism: Chrysemys picta bellii (western painted turtle)
Lineage: Eukaryota; Metazoa; Chordata; Testudines; Emydidae
Source: RefSeq, a predicted model, not a curated record
CCUCCUUUCUUCUCCCUCCAACAUCUAGGCCACCCCAACCUGGACCCCAUCCCUACCUUUCCCCCAUCCAUGCCUCCUCCCAUACCGCCCCUCAGCCUCCCUCCCUCCCCAACACCCUCCAGUCUGCAACAACCUUCCCCAACCCACACACCUGUAUCCCUUAGUUCAUUCCUCCACUCAUGGGACUCCUCAGCCCCCAUCUUUCUCCAACAUCCUCCCAGCUCACCACAGCCUGCACCUCCAUCCAUGCCUCCAUCUGUAGGGACUGUUCAGCCCCCCUUCCUCCCCAACAGCCCCCCCCACUUCUUCUCCCCAUCUGUUGGGCCCCUCAGCCCCCUUUUUUCCUCCCUCCCAACACUCUCAGCCCAACGCAACCUGCACCCCACUCUGUCCCUAGAUCUGUGGGUCUCCAGUGCUCUUUUCUCCUUUCUCCAACAUUCCCCAACCUGCACCCCUAUUCCUACCCUUUCCCCCAGUCCCUCCUUCCACCCAUGGGGCCCCUCAGCCCUUCUCUCUCCUUCCUCCCCAACACGCACCCUUCGUAGGACGUGGUCAGGGGUACUAGGUGUGCAUCCCCACAGGCCAGGUCUCGGGAGCCACGGAGAAGUAGGAGCGGACGAAAACCAUGUGGAUUAGUGGAUAAUAGAGUGGAACGGUGACUGACAGUGUGGGCUCAGUCUCUGUUCCUCGACUGCGGUUGAUGUAGACGGAAUGGGAGACAGAGGCAGGGUUGAGGGCAAGAUUUCCAGCACCAAUAGAGCUCUGUGUAGUGAUAGUUCUUGCUUGGCUUUAUUAGUUUGCAGAGGAAUCGUCCAGGAGCCCUAGCCAGACAAGAAUAUGGCAGAAGUGGAUCUAAGCAUCCUGGACAUCCUUCUAAGGAAACAUGAAUAGUCGACGUUUCUGCCUUCUGCAUCACUGGCUUUGCAAGGAAAACAGAGUCACGCAUCAGUGUCUCCUGCCCUCAUGCGAUGGAAAGCGAGCGAGAGCGUUGAGACUCUGAGCAUUGUUGAUGCCACGCAAAAGCCAUCCUUACCUGUACUCGGUGUAGUAUUGUUCACAAGCCGUGUGCUUUCUGGUUGGCUAUGAGGCUGUGUGAGAUUACGGCUGGGGAGAGGCCAGAGUCUGCUAUGCAGAGUGAUAAUAUCGGGUGCUGUUGCAAGGGGUGCUUUUUGGUUGUAGUGCUGAAGGCUUAAUGUGGGGGACGGUUGGGGGAGGAGUGCUGUCCUGUGGCAGAAGAAACUGGUUCCUGACCAGCUGUGCUUACUAGACAGACAAGGUCCCCAUUUUCGGGUGCUGCUCAUUUCUCUGGCCAGGAGCGGUGUGUCCUCCGCAGCAGAAGGUUGCAUCUAGGAGGAUGAUUCCAGAUGCUGCGCUUCCAGAGGAAUUUUCCAGGAGCCCUAUCUCGAGGAGAAAGUGGCAGAAGUGGACAUCCUUGUAAGCAGACAUGAACAGUCCUCACCUUUCUCACUCCCGCAUAACUGGCUUACCAAGGAAAAAGAGGUUGCGCGUCAGAGUCUACUGCCCUCAUGCGAUGUAAAGUGAGGGACAGCAGCGAGCUUGUGACCCGUGUUGAUGCCAGGGAAGAGCCGUCUAUCUGGGAUCCGAGCAGACGCCACUCUCCAUGAGAUAAGUGUCUGGUUUGGUGAUUGCUGUGCUCGUGGUCCACCUUGGUCCUGCUACGGACGCCCUGUUAGCUGGGGCUGGAUUUGUAAGAAAUGGUUCCUGACCAGCUGUGCUUACUAGACAGACAAGGUCCCCAUUUUCAGGGCUGCUCAUUUCUCUGGCCAGGAGCGGUGUGUCCUCCGCAGCAGAAAGUUGCAUCUAGGAGGAUGACUCCAGGUGUGCCGUCUGCCUUCGUCGGACACAGGCAGACAUGCUAGGUGUACAUCCCCACAGGCCAGGUCUUGGGCGCCAUGGAGAAGUAGGAGCGGACAUAAGCAUGCGGGGCUGUGGGCGCUAAAGUGGAGCUGUCACUAUCUGUCUGUGUUUACUCGGAUUCUGUUCAUCGAGUGAGGCUAAUGUAGAUGGGACUAGAGAGGGAGGCAGGGCUGAGGGCAAGAUUUCCAGCACCAAUAGAGCUCUGUGUAGUGAUAGUUCUUGCUUGGUUUUAUUAGUUUGCAGAGGAAUCGUCCAGGAACCGUAGCCGGACAAGAAUAUGGCAGAAGUGGACCUGAGCAGUCUGGACAUGCUGCUAAGGAGACAUGAAUAGUCCUCAUGUUUCUGCCUUCUGUAUCACUGGCUGUGAGUAAGAGUACCAAGGAAAAAGUAGUCACACAUCAGAGUCUACUGCCCUCAUGCGAUGGAAAGCGAGCGAGAGCGUCGAGACUCUGAGCAUUGUUGAUGCCAUGCAUAAGCCGUCCAUCUCAGUGCCGAGGAGAUGCCGCUGUCAGUGAGAUAAGUGUCUGGUUUGGUGAGGGCUCUGCUCACGCCUCACCUGAGUUCAGGUAGGGAAGACCAGUACAGCUGGGCUGGGUUUGUUUGACAAGGUUUCUGACGAGUUGUGGUUACGGGAGAGAAAAGGUCCCUAUUUUCAGACGUUGCUCAUUUCUCUGGUCAGGAACAGCGUCUCCUCUGCAGCAGAAGGUUGCCUCCAGGAGGAUGACUCCAGGUAGUGAGUUGCUUGCCUUCCUCCCAUGUUUUUUCUCUCUCUCUCUCUUUUCUAGUACGUUGGCCAACACACACCCUCUAUCUCUCUCAGUCUAUCCUUGCCUUUCCUCAUGCUGUCUCCCUUCAUAAGACACGGUCAGGCGUGAUACGUGUGCAUCGCCACAGGCUAUGUCUCGGGAGCCAUGGAGAAGAAGGAGAGGGCGAAAUAUCAUGCAGGGCUGUUACUGUCAGUGUUAACUCGGUCUCUGUUCAUCAAGUGGGGCUGAUGUAGAUGGGACUGGAGAGAGGUGUCAUGAUGAGGGCAAGAUUUGAAGCAGCAAUAGAGCUUUGUGUAGUGAUGGUUCAUGCUUGGCUUUUGCAGCUGCGCUUCCAGAGGAAUUUUCCAAGAGCCCUAUCCUGAGAAGAAAGUGGCAGAAGUGGACAUGAGCAGACUGGACAUCCAUGUAAGCAGACAUGAACAGUCCUCACCUUUCUGCCUCCUGUUUAACUAGCUGUGAUACCAAGGAAAAAGAAGUCACGCAUCAGAGUCUACUGCCCUCAUGCAAUGUAAAGUGAGGGAGAGCAGCGAGCCUGUGACCCCUGUUGAUGCCAGGGAAGAGCCGUCUAUCUGGGAUCCGAGCAGACGCCACUCUCCGUGAGAUAAGUGUCUGGUUUGGUGAUUGCUGUGCUCGCGGUCCACCUUACUCCUGCUAGGGACGCCCUGUUAGCUGGGGCUGGGUUUGUAAGAAAUGGUUCCUGACCAGCUGUGCUUACUAGACAGACAAGGUCCCCAUUUUCAGGGGCUGCUUAUUUCUCUGGCCAGGAGCGGUGUGUCCUCCGCCGCAGAAGGUUGCAUCUAGGAGGAUGAGUCCAGGUGUUCGCUGAGGAAUUGUCCCGGAGCCCUAGCCGGAGAAGAAUAUGGCAGAAGUGGACCUGAGCAGCCUGGACAUACUUCUAAGGAGACGUGAAUAGUCCUCAUGUUUCUGCCUUCUGCAUCGCUGGCUGUGAGUAAGAGUACCAAGGAAAACGAAGUCACACGUCAGAGUCUACUGCCCUCAUGCAAUGGAAAGCGAGCGAGAGCGUCGAGACUCUGAGCAUUGUUGAUGCCACGCAAAAGCCGUCCAUCUGGGAGCUGAGGAGACGCUGCUGUCAGUGAGAUAAGUGUCUGGUUUGGUGAGCGCUCUGCUCACGCCCAACCUGAGUCGAGGUAGGGAAGUGCAGUACGGUAGGGCUGGGUUUGUAUGAAAAGGUUUCUGAUUAGCUGUGGUCACGAGGGAGAAAAGGUCCCUAUUUUCAGAGCUUGCUCAUUUCUCUGGUCAGGAACAAUGUCUCCUCCGCAGCGGAAGGUUGGAUCCAGGAGGAUGAUUCAGGUGGUGAGUUGCUUGUUUUCCUCCCAUAUUUUUUUUCCUCUUUCUCUCUCUCUCUCUUCUCUAGUGUGUUGGCCAACUUUCUCACUCUCUUUCCUCUCCUCUCCUCGUGCCGUCUCCCUUCGUAAGGCACGCGCAGGUGUGCUAAGUGUGCAUCCCUACAGGCUAGGUCUCAGGAUCCAUGGAGAAAUAAGAGCUAACGAAAAUCAUGCGUAGCAGUGGCUGUCGGUGUUAACUCGGUCUCUGUUGGUCGAGUGGGGCCGAGGUAGAUGGGAUUGAACAGGGAGGCCAGGAUGAGGGCAAAAUUUGAAGCACCAAUAGAGCUUUGUGUAGUGAUGGCUCAUGCUUGGCAUUUGCAGCUACGCUUCCAGAGGAAUUUUCCGGGAGCCCUAGACAGAGGAGAAAGUGGCAGAAGUGGACAUGAGCAGACUGGACAUCCUUGUAAGCAGACAUGAACAGUCGUCAGCUUUCUGACUCCCGCAUAACUGACUUACGGAGGGAAAAGAAAUCAAACAUCAGAGAUUACUCCCCACGUUGGAUGGAAAGCGAGUGAGAGCAGCAAGCCCGCAAGCAUUGUUGAUGCAAGUGAGGAGCCGUCCAGUUGGCAGUGGAGCAGUCGCUACUGUCAGCGAGAUAAGUGUCUGGUUUGGUGAGGGCUCUGCGUAGGGCCCCACUGGCUCCAAGUAGGGAUGCCCCGUUAGCUGGGGCUGGGUUUGUAAGAAAUGGUUCCUAACCAGCUGUGGUUACGAGAGAGACAAGGUCCCCAUUUUCAGGGGCUGCUCAUUUCUCUGGUCAGGAACGGUGUCUCCUCCGCAGCAGAAGGUUGGAACCAGGAGGAUGACUCCAGGUGGUCAGUUACUUGCUUUCCUCCAUUUUUUUCUCUCUCUCUUUCUCGGUCCUGUAGUGUGUUGGCCAACUUUCUCAUUCUCUUUCGUCUCCUGUCCUCGUGCCGUCUCCCUUCGUAGGACAUGGGCAGGCCUGCUAGGUGUGCAUCCCCAAGGGCCAUGUCUCAGGAGCCAUGGAGAAGUAGGAGGGGACAAAAAUCAUGCAGGGCUGUGACUGUCGGUGUUAACUCAGUCUCUGUUCAUCAAGUGGGGCUGAUGUAGAUGGGAUUGGAGAGGGAGGCCAGGAUGAGGGCAAGAUUUGAAGCAACAAAUAGAGCUUUAAGUAGUGAUGGCUCAUGCUUGGCUUUUGCAGAUGCGCUUCCAGAGGAAUUUUCCAAGAGCCCUAUCCUGAGGAGAAAGUGGCAGAAGUGGACAUGAGCAGACUGGACAUCCUUGUCAGCCGACAUGAACUGUCCUCAGCUUUCUGACUCCCGCAUAACUGGCUGACCGAGGAAAAAGAAGUCAUGCGUCAGAGUCUCAAGCCCUCAUGCAAUGGAAAGCGAGCCAGAGCGAUGAGACAGCGAACAUUGUUGAUGCCACGCAAAGGCCAUCGAAGUGGGAGGGAAACGGCCGCCACUCUUAGUUAGAUAAGUAUCUGUUUUGGUGAUUGUUCUGCUCACGGCCCACCUUCCUCCUGGUAGGGAUGCCCCGUUCUCUGGGGCUAGCUUUGUAAGAAAAUGUUCCUGUCUAGCUGUGGUUAUGAGGGGGACGAGGUCCCCAUUUUCAGGGGCUGCUCAUUUCUCUGGCCGGGACCGGUGUGUCCUCCACAGCAGAAGUUUGCAUCUAGGAGGAUGACUCCUGGUGGUGAGUUCCUUGCCUUCCUCCCAUGUCUCUCUCUCUCUCUCUCUCUCUCUCUCUUUUCUCUAGUGUGUUGGUCAACUUUCUCACUGUCUCUCCUCUCCUUUACUCUCCUUGUGCCAUCUUCCUUCGUAGGACAUGGGCAGGUGUGCAUCCCUACAUGCCAGGUUUUGGGAGUCGCGGACAAAAAUCAUGCUGGGCAGUGGGUGCGAGAGUGGAGUGGUGACUGUCGGUGUUAACUUGGUCUCUGUUCAUUGAACGGGGUCGAUGUAGAUGGGACUAGAGAGGGAGGCAGGGAUGAGGGCAAGAUUUCCAUCACCAAUAGAGCUCUGUGUAGUGAUAGUUCUUGUUUGGCUUUAUUAGUUUGCAGAGGAAUCGUCCAGGAACCCUAGCUGGACAAGAAUAUGGCGGAAGUGGACCUGAGCAGCCUGGACAUCCUUCUAAGGAGACAUGAAUAGUCCUCAUGUUUCUGCCUUCUGCAUCGCUGGCUGUGAUACCAAGGAAAAAGAAGUCACGCGUCAGAGUCUACUGCCCUCAUGCGAUGUAAAGUGAGGGAGAGCAGCAAGCCUGUAACUACUGUUGAUGCCAGGCAAGGGCCAUCUAUCUGGGAUCCGAGCAGACGCCUCUCUCCGUGAGAUAAGUGUCUGGUUUGGUGAUUGCUGUGCUCACGGUCCACCUUGGUCCUGCUAGGGACGCCCUGUUAGCUGGGGCUGGGUUUGUAAGAAAUGGUUACUGACCAGCUGCGCUUAUGAGAGAGACAAGAUCCCCAUUUCUGGGGGCUGCUCAUUUCUCUGGCCAGGAGCGGUGUGUCCUCCGCCGCAGAAGGUUGCAUCUAGGAGGAUGACUCCAGGUGGUGAGUUGCUUGCCUUCCUCCCAUCUUUCUCUUCUCUUGGCCAGCACACAGUGUCUCUCUCUCUCUCUCUCUGUCUGUCUGUCUGUCUGUCCUUCCCUUUCCUUCUGCUGUCUCCCUUCGUAAGACAGUGGUAGACGUGCUAGGUGUGUAUCCCUACAAGCCAGGUCUCGGGCGCCAUGGAGAAGUAAGAGUGGACGAAAAGCAUGCGGGGCAGUGGGCACUAAAGUGGAGCUGUGACUGUCUGUGUUUACUCAGUCUCUGUUCAUCGAAUGGGGCUGAUGUAGAUGGGACAGGAGAAGGAGGCAGGGCUGAGGGCAAGAUUUUCAGCACCAAUAGAGCUCUGUGUAGUGAUAGUUCUUGCUUGGCUUUAUUAGUUUGCAGAGGAAUCGUCCCGGAGCCCUAGCCGGACAAGAAUAUGGCAGAAGUGGACCUGAGCAGCCUGGACAUGCUUCUAAGGAGACGUGAAUAGUUGUCAUGUUUCUGCCUUCUGUAUCACUGGCUGUGAGUAAGAGGUCAGUGCUUUCAAUUCCUCAUCUGUAGUCAUUGUCGUUUUCUUCCGAGACCGUGUGCUCUCUCGUUGGCUCUGAGGCUCUGGGAUUAAGGCAGAGGAAGGGACGAGAGUCUCCUGAGCAAAGUGAGUAUUUUGGGUGCCGUUAUAAUGGGUGCCUUCUAGUUGCAGUUGUAACAUAGUAAUGGAUGAUGGGUUGAGGGCGGAGCCGUGGGAUAUGGGAAAUGUGAAAUGAAGAGUCGACGCGACAUUGCAGAUGCUAAUUUUUUUUUGUUUUUUCCCCUCUCUGCUGGGUUUAGUAUAAAGGAAAACGAAGUCACGCGUCAGAGUCUACUGCCCUCAUGCGAUGGAAAGCGAGCCAGAGCGUCGAGACUCUGAACAUUGCUGAUGCCACGCAAAAGCCGUCAAUCUGGGAGCUGAGGAGACGCCGCUGUGAGUGAGAUAAGUGUCUGGUUUGGUGAGGGCUCUGCUCACGCUCAACCUGAGCCCAGGUAGGGAAGCCCAGUACGGUAGGUCUGGGUUUGUAUGAAAAGGUUUCUGACUAGCUGUGGUCUCGAGGGAGAAAAAGUCCCUAUUUUCAGAGGUUGCUCAUUUCUCUGGUCAGGAACAGUGUCUCCUCUGCAGCAGAAGGUUGGAUCCAGGAGGAUGACUCAGGUGGUGAGUUGCUUGCUUUCCUCCCAUAUUUUUUUUCCUCUCUCUCUCUCUCUCUCCUCUAGUGU